CAGCAUGAGGUAGCAAUACCUUGAUGGCGACCGGCGCACGGGUGAGUAACGCGUAUGCAACCUGCCUGAUACCGGGGUAUAGCCCAUGGAAACGUGGAUUAACACCCAUAGUACUUUUAUCCUGCAUGGGAUGUGAGUUAAAUGUUCAAGGUAUCGGAUGGGCAUGCGUCCUAUUAGUUAGUUGGCGGGGUAACAGCCCACCAAGACGAUCGAUAGGUAGGGGUUCUGAGAGGAAGGUCCCCACAUUGGAACUGAGACUACGGUCCAAACUCC
Molecule: ribosomal RNA, 273 nt
Filed under: uncultured bacterium
Lineage: Bacteria
Description: partial 16S ribosomal RNA
Rfam family: Bacterial small subunit ribosomal RNA
Source: RNAcentral